RNAcentral lists this ribosomal RNA (407 nucleotides) under uncultured bacterium. Its description in RNAcentral is "partial 16S ribosomal RNA". It matches the Rfam family "Bacterial small subunit ribosomal RNA", at positions 355 to 774 of the family's 1533-position model. The record is from RNAcentral.
UGGGGAUUAUUGCACAAUGGGCGCAAGCCUGAUACAGCAACGCCGCGUGCGGGAUGACGGCCUUCGGGUUGUAAACCGCUUUCAUCCAUGACGAAGCGAGAGUGACGGUAGUGGAAGAAGAAGCACCGGCUAACUACGUGCCAGCAGCCGCGGUGAUACGUAGGGUGCGAGCGUUGUCCGGAUUUAUUGGGCGUAAAGAGCUUGUAGGCGGUUUGUCGCGUCGGGAGUGAAAACUCAGGGCUUAACCCUGAGCCUGCUUCCGAUACGGGCAGACUUGAGGAAGGUAGGGGAGAUUGGAAUUCCUGGUGAAGCGGUGGAAUGCGUAGAUAUCAGGAGGAACACCAGUGGCGAAGGCGGAUCUCUGGACCUUUCCUGACGCUGAGAAGCGAAAGCGUGGGGAGCAAACA